Molecule: long non-coding RNA, 2303 nt
Organism: Schistocerca serialis cubense
Lineage: Eukaryota; Metazoa; Arthropoda; Insecta; Orthoptera; Acrididae
Exons: 2
Source: RefSeq, a predicted model, not a curated record
CCAAAUUUGAUUUUUUGAGAUAAACAUCCUCUUAUUCUCUUUUGCCAGCUGUAUUUAAGGAUGAUAUACAUCCUUGAAAUAUAGGGGGUUCUACAAAAGAAAGGCAAGUACCAUACCUUUCCAUUGAAUCGUCAAAUUCCAGACUGGUUGUUGGCCUUUUCUACUAUUUGCAGAAUAUAACAGUAGAUGGCUUUACUGUGUUCCCCACUCCCAGCUAAAAUAACCUCUUAAUGUCUUUCUUACAGUAUUGCAAGUCAUUGUGUUAGUAGCAUUCAACAAUGGGCACUAACUCUUGUGUGUGGCCAAAAAGGCAACAGAAAAAGUGGAAAUGUGAAGAUAUCGUAAGAGAUGCAAAAGUAUGAGGAGGUGAAGAACAUGUGAACCAUGUGGGAGACCUUGUUCCAAGGCGAAUGGUUGGUGAAGACUGUAGGUCAUAAGGAUCCAACAGGAUGACUCGCCAGGUGGUCACUACAUCUUCAAGAGUUUGAUAUUACCCUAGUGUACAGAAGUGGAAGAAAACACCAAGAUGCCGACUGUCUGUUAAGAAACCCUGUGCAAGACCAUCAAGACUUUGAUGAAGAUAGUAACUGUCUCGCUGCACUCCAGAAUCUCUCUGCUGAGCAGGAGGAGGACGCCAAGGUAUCUCAAAUUAUGCUUGCCUUAAGUCUGUCAGAGGAUGUGCAAGGACAAUUUAAGGUAGUUAAUGGAUUGCUUUGCAAGAAAAACUUUGAUCCAUUUGGAAAGAGGUGGCUACCAAUGAUUCCUAAAAAAUGCGCUUAGAUGUUCUAUAGAAAUUCCAUGACACACCUGAGGCCGGACAUUUAGGAUUUAUUAAGACAUACGAUACUACCACAAUUUUUUUCUGGCCAGGUUUAUUUAGGAGUGUCCGUCACUAUGUGUCACACUGUCGAGAGUGCCAGAGGAGAAAGGCAGUUCCUCAGAAACCACCUGACCGACUCAUACCAAUUCCACCAGCCAAAGUGCCUUUCUAGCGUGUUGGGAUUGACCUCCUCGGACGAUUUCCAAUGUCUACUAGUGGCAAUAGAUGGAUUAUUGUUUACACUGAUUAUCUGACGCGCUAUGCCAUUACAAAAGUCGUAAAAACAGCCAAAGCAUUCGAGUUAGCCUAAUUUAUUGUAGAAGACAUUGUAUUAAAACACAGUGCCCCAAGGUCAUUAAUUACGGAUCGAGGGAACGUUUUCCAAUCGAUUCUUGUGACAGAGAUAAACUGUCGGUGCAAAAUUACUCAUCACAUGACGACUACUUACCAUCCGCAAACUAACGGGCUUACUGAAUGCCUUAGUAAGACCUUGGCCAAAAUGCUAUCAGUGUUGAGCAGAGCAACUGGGAUGAGGUGCUACCUUUCGUGACAUUUGCCUACAACACCGCCAAAUGAGGCACGACAAGAUUUACGCCAUUUUUCCUGGUACAUGGGCGUGAGGCGACGACGAUGAUGGACGCUGUGUUUCCGUUGCGUCCUGAUGACGUGGACGACGACUACAUCGGCCCGGUGUUAACCAGAGCUGAGGAAGCUCAGCAGUGAGCUCGACUCCACACACUGCAGGCUCAAGAAAAUGAUCACCGAAGAUAUGACGCAAGCCACCACCCUGUUGUUUACCAGUCUGGCGACCUUGUCUGGAUCUUCACUCCUGUUCGGAAGGUUGGUCUCUCUGAGAAGCUCCUCAGGUGCUACUUUGGACUUUAUACGGUUGUAAGAUGGUUGUUUGAUGUUACUUAUGAAGUUGCAGAUUUCGACCCCGACACAAGACGACGAAAGAUAAGAGAUACGGUCCACAUCCUUCGAAUGAAGCCCUAAGAGGAUCCUGCAACCCAUGGUAAAUUCGAAGCUCCAGCGACAGGCAGCAAGUGGAAAGGUGGUGAAGAAUGUAGCGGCAAGGGAAAUUAUAAGAAGAUCACCGUGAAGGCGAAUGUCAGUCAUCGGGAGUCGGAGUAUGCAGGACUGAUGACUCGUUCCCAGACUAGGAGAACAUAACACCGAAACGCUUUUCUCUUGAGGAGGGAGCAGUGUUGCAGUAGAAGCUGAGGAGCACAGUCGCCAUAGUGUAGUGGCUAUGAUGCUAGAGUGUUCAAUGAAGGGUUGUGAGUUCAAAAACUCACCUGAACUGUAAAAUUUUAAUAUCUAUAUCCGGUUCGAGUACAUUCUAGAAGUAUCCACAAAUGGCAAGAAUCACUGUACUGGAAAGUUCUGUAGCUGUAUAUAGAUACUGUAUGUGUUCUGGCCGGAGGCAGUUCACUCCGCGCUCUUGUAUGUGCAAGUGCUGAAUAAACCUUCGUUAAGUGAA